This 72-nucleotide transfer RNA is filed under the name Camelus dromedarius (Arabian camel). It matches the Rfam family "tRNA". Rfam says of the family: Transfer RNA (tRNA) molecules are approximately 80 nucleotides in length. Their secondary structure includes four short double-helical elements and three loops (D, anti-codon, and T loops). RNAcentral also lists the same sequence under 1 other name. Lineage: Eukaryota; Metazoa; Chordata; Mammalia; Artiodactyla; Camelidae. The record is from Rfam by way of RNAcentral.
GAGGGUAGAGCUCAGUGGUAGAGCGCAUGCUUAGUGUGCAAGAGGUCCUGGGUUCAAUCCCCAGCACCUCCA